Amblyraja radiata (thorny skate) is the source of this 822-nucleotide long non-coding RNA. RefSeq lists it as uncharacterized. The record is from RefSeq and is a predicted model, not a curated record. NCBI's taxonomy places the organism in Eukaryota, Metazoa, Chordata, Chondrichthyes, Rajiformes, Rajidae. The transcript has 4 exons.
ACCGGUGUUUGCGGCUCUGAGGAACCCGGAUUGUUAAAUACAGAGACUGGGGCUGAACAGUGUCGGACUCACAUAUUCUGGAGCCGAGCAUCUCGCUUCCGCUCUCAGUACAAAUCAUACGGUGACGGAGCUGGAGCUGAGUGGGAAUACACUGGGAGAUUCCGGAGUGAAACCGGUGUCUGCAGCUCUGUGGAACCCGGACUGUAAAAUAUAGACAUUGGGGCUGGAACAUGUCGGUCUCACAGAUUCUGGAGCCGAGGAUCUCGCCUUCUCUCUCAGUACAAACCCCUCACUGACGGAGCUGGAGCUGGGAUACAACUCCCUCACAGACCGAUCUGUCCCCGCUCUCCGCCGCCUCAUACUGACCCUCCCGAGACUGGAGCGGAUCAGGCUGUGGGGGAAUCAGUUCAGUCCGACCGGGGAGAAGGAACUGAGGAAGCUGCAGGAACCCAGACCCGGACUGACUGUGUACUUGUCAACAUCUCUGGGUGUGAAUGUCACCGCCCUGGGGACCGGAAUAUUGUUGGACGGUUCCCCGCCCUCCCCUUUAAACAGCUGCCCCCCCCCCUUUAAACAGCUGCCUUCCCCUUUAAACGUCCGCCCUCCCCUUUAAACGGCCGCCCUCCCCUUUAAACGGCCGCCCUCCCUUUUAAACGGCCGCCCUCCCCUUUAAACGGCCGCCCUCCCCUUUAAACGGCCGCCCUCCCUUUUAAACGGCCGCCCUCACCUUUAAACGUCCACGGUCCGGGUUUAAACCCCAGCGGUUCCCGGGCCGGGCGGGCGGUGAUGUCAGAGAUGGCCCUGCCUGCUGUCAUGUGACCC